RNAcentral lists this ribosomal RNA (551 nucleotides) under Parlatoria camelliae. Its description in RNAcentral is "eukaryotic LSU rRNA". The record is from RNAcentral. Lineage: Eukaryota; Metazoa; Arthropoda; Insecta; Hemiptera; Diaspididae.
AUCUGGGCGGCGGAAUUCAGGAUGGCGGGCGCGAUCUUCGCGGCGCGUUCGUCGUUUGAUAUUUCCGUCGCCGACUCAACCCGCAGACGUCGCGACCUGUUCGCGGUCGGUCCUUGCUCGGAGGAGUCACGUUCGAGUUUGUUGCGUGCGCGUUUCUGCGCGUUACGCGGCAAAGGCGUGAAUCUCUGGCUGGCCGUCGGACAGUACGCUUAACGGUGUCCGGUGUCGUCGUCUCGUACGCGCGCGCACCGGUACCGGUCGGCGACGAAUUCUUCGGGCCUCUUUCCGACCCGUCUUGAAACACGGACCAAGGAGUCUAACAUGCGCGCGAGUCGCGGGGUGUCGAGCGCAUCACGGUGCGUUCGUUACGUUGCGAAACCCGUACAUGUUGAAGGCGUAAUGAAAGUAAAUGGGGAAGAUGGUGUUCCGAGUACACGUUCCGCGGUCAUUGGUACCGCGGCCGGACACCCGCAUUCCCGGGGCGUCUCAACGGCCCGUCGCGGAUGCGGGCAGUCGUCUCUCGGGGCGGCUGUCGGUCUGCGACGAACCGA